This 499-nucleotide ribosomal RNA is filed under the name uncultured bacterium. RNAcentral describes it as "bacterial SSU rRNA". It matches the Rfam family "Bacterial small subunit ribosomal RNA", at positions 28 to 517 of the family's 1533-position model. The record is from RNAcentral.
GACGAACGCUGGCGGCGUGCCUAACACAUGCAAGUCGAACGAAGCAUCUUAGAAAGCUUGCUAUCAGUGAUGGCGACCGGCGCACGGGUGAGUAACGCGUAUCCAACCUGCCUGUCACUCAGGAAUAGCCCGGUGAAAACCGGAUUAAGUCCUGAUGAUAUCAUUAGAGGGCAUCUGACGAUGAUUAAAGGUUACGGUGACGGAUGGGGAUGCGUCUGAUUAGCUUGUUGGCGGGGUAACGGCCCACCAAGGCAACGAUCGAGUAGGGGUUCUGAGAGGAAGGUCCCCCACAUUGGAACUGAGACACGGUCCAAACUCCUACGGGAGGCAGCAGUGAGGAAUAUUGGUCAAUGGACGGAAGUCUGAACCAGCCAAGUAGCGUGCAGGACGACGGCCCUAUGGGUUGUAAACUGCUUUUAUGUGGGAAUAAAGUCAGGGACGUGUCCCUGUUUGCAUGUACCACAGGAAUAAGGACCGGCUAAUUCCGUGCCAGCAGCCG